This 84-nucleotide transfer RNA is filed under the name Candidatus Acetothermia bacterium. RNAcentral describes it as "tRNA-Leu". It matches the Rfam family "tRNA". From Rfam's summary of the family: Transfer RNA (tRNA) molecules are approximately 80 nucleotides in length. RNAcentral also lists the same sequence under 1 other name. The record is from RNAcentral. Lineage: Bacteria; Candidatus Bipolaricaulota.
GCCGGGAUGGCGGAAUUGGCAGACGCAAGGGACUUAAAAUCCUUUGAGGGUUUCCUCGUGCGGGUUCGACUCCCGCUCCCGGCA